UACGUAGGGGGCAAGCGUUGUCCGGAAUCAUUGGGCGUAAAGAGCGCGUAGGCGGCCCUGUAAGUCCGCUGUGAAAGUCAAGGGCUCAACCCUUGGAUGCCGGUGGAUACUGCAGGGCUAGAGUCCGGAAGAGGCGAGUGGAAUUCCUGGUGUAGCGGUGAAAUGCGCAGAUAUCAGGAGGAACACCGAUGGCGAAGGCAGCUCGCUGGGACGUUACUGACACUGAGGCGCGAAAGCGUGGGGAGCGAACAGG
Molecule: ribosomal RNA, 253 nt
Filed under: uncultured bacterium
Lineage: Bacteria
Description: partial 16S ribosomal RNA
Rfam family: Bacterial small subunit ribosomal RNA
Source: RNAcentral